CUGUCCUCCUCUUAAAAACGACCACAUAGGUCGUUUGUGCAAGCAGCAUAUUACGACCUAUUAUUACGUUUUAAAAUCAAGCGCCCUCUAGCGGCCGUAUUACGACAGUCUCGUUUGUCGGGUGUGUCGUCAUCAAAUGACCUUUGACUGUCGUUACCAUCGUUACCACCCAAAAAAAGGAGGCGUGACCCAACAUCUUACCAUGCGUUGUUGUCCAGUUUUGCAGUUUCUUCAUAUCACAUACAUCUCCAGCUCCUACAACAACAUUCAGUGUCCAGCAGCUCUUUAUGAUGCUCUCUCUCUCUCUCUCUCUUUCUCACUCUCUCUCUCUCUCUCUCUCUCUCUCAUUUUCCUUUCCUAUUUUUCUGAACUGUAAUUCAUAAAUAAGUCACACAUAUUUUUCUUUCUUUCUCUUGUUCAUCAUGGCAUAUUUUCACAGCUCAGAAUCAGAUUUUGAUCAGUUCUUGUAUUAACAGGGAACUUGUACUCGAAGCUCAACUUGAAGAAGUUUCCAGUGAAGAUGAAGUCCUUCAAAGGUUCGACACAGCUGAAAAGGAAGACCAUGGGCCUGUCAAACCUUGUUUGUGGAGAGGGAUGAAUUUGACCAUCUUGUGUGUUUACGGAGAAGACCAAAAGCUGCUAAGGCAGAUAUUUCCAGAGGAUUUCUGACAGAUUACUGAGUCCUUCUCCAUCAGCUCUCCACAAUAGCAGCCCUUCCAAAAGCAUCCACAUCACUCUCUCUUGUGUGGCACAUCUGCUCUCAGUCGUUAGCAUGUCUACUUGUAUUAUUUCUCCUCUAGUCAACACUCCCAUCUCUACUGUGAACACUCCAUUUGGCAUUUUAUAAACUUCUCUGCAAACAAAUUGACAAUUUUUAUUUAUUUAUUCAUUUUUUUUAUUUUAUAUAUAUAUUUUUAUAUUAGCCAAUUUAGUUUUAAAGGGAUUUUCUAUUACAUAAUUCUGUCUGUACCUAUUAGUUACUUUAUCAAUCAGUAAUUUUUAAAAGUUGUUAUAUUUCACAAUAAUAUAUUAUUUUUUUGUUUUUAUUUCUUCAUAGUGACAAACUAGAGAGAAAGAAUGGUGUUAUUUGCAUUGUUUGUCUGAAAAGUUUGACAUAUCAAUAAACACUGAUAUGGAAAUUACUAAAAAAAAA
Molecule: long non-coding RNA, 1153 nt
Organism: Carassius gibelio (silver crucian carp)
Lineage: Eukaryota; Metazoa; Chordata; Actinopteri; Cypriniformes; Cyprinidae
Exons: 4
Source: RefSeq, a predicted model, not a curated record